Long non-coding RNA from Gossypium arboreum, 532 nucleotides. RefSeq lists it as uncharacterized. The transcript is spliced from 3 exons. The record is from RefSeq and is a predicted model, not a curated record. NCBI's taxonomy places the organism in Eukaryota, Viridiplantae, Streptophyta, Magnoliopsida, Malvales, Malvaceae.
AAAAAUAAUUAGCUAAACGUGGAAGGAAAGAGAAACCAUUAUUUCAUCUUCCUCCUUCCACCGAAUCUCACCGUUGGAAGGGAGCUUUGGAGAGUUUGAAGGUUCGGCCCUUACAUGAUCAAGAUUUGAAUCAAUUAGUAGAUAAUCAAGAAAAAGGGAAAAUUGUUGAUUAGUCCCUACACUUCAACUCAUUAGCAGCUUUUACAGUUGACAUUUUGCAGAAUGUGUCUAUCGAAUCACCCCAGAACUCACACUAUCCAGCUUCAAUCUCGAUAGACUUUUAAAUCAUUCUAGACACGAUUAUGUGGCAUGUGUAUAGGUUUUGAUGUGAAUAAGUGUUUAUGUUGGAAGAUGUUGAAAUGAUACUUAUAUAAUGUUUGUUUUGAAUGUUUAUAUGAUAUGUAUAUACUUGAAUUGUAUAUGUGUUUACUUGGAGUUUUCAUGAGUUUGAACCAAGAAUGUGGCUGGUUGUGGAUGUUUAUUAUGAUGUUUAAAAUGUUUAUUAUAGUAAGCUAUGGUUGAAGCUUAUAAA